GGGCACCAUGGCGAAAUGGGACAAUCAGGUGGCCUACACGAACCCAAUAGCAAUGGCCAGAUCGAGGGGUCUGAUCCAGUCUUCAGGACCAACGAUCCAGAAUUAUCUGAAUCAACCAAGGCCUACCUGGGAAGAAGUGAAAGAGCAACUAGAAAAGAAAAAGAAGGGCUCUAAGGCUUUGGUUGAAUUUGAAGAAAAAAAUGAAUAAGAACUGGAAGAAAGAACUAGAAAAACACAGGGAGAAAUUAUUAAGUGGAAGUGAGAGCUCAUCCAAGAAAAGACAGAGAAAGAAAAAAGAAAAGAAGAAAUCCGGUAGGUAUUCCUCCUCUUCUUCUUCAUCAAGCUCUGAUUCUUCCUGCAGUUCUUCAGAUUCUGAAGAUGAGGGUAGGAAACAAGGGAAUAGGGAGAAGAAAAAGAAGUCAAAGGAUGCACCUGAGAAGGAAAAGGAUGUCAAAAGGCUCAGCAAAAAAAAGAAAGAUGGAUCCUGA
Molecule: RNA transcript, 488 nt
Organism: Galeopterus variegatus (Sunda flying lemur)
Lineage: Eukaryota; Metazoa; Chordata; Mammalia; Dermoptera; Cynocephalidae
Gene name: protein FAM133B pseudogene
Exons: 1
Source: RefSeq, a predicted model, not a curated record